This 265-nucleotide long non-coding RNA is filed under the name Lathyrus oleraceus (garden pea). RNAcentral describes it as "Pisum sativum (pea) long non-coding RNA (PSAT_LNC024702)". The record is from RNAcentral. Lineage: Eukaryota; Viridiplantae; Streptophyta; Magnoliopsida; Fabales; Fabaceae.
GAUGAAGAGGGAGGGGAAAUGGAUCAAACUCAAAUUGGACAAAGGAGAACUUUUACCAAAUUAAGAUCAUUCAUUCAUUUUGGGAGAUAAAAUGUACAUUCCAUCAACCCCCUAAAUCCAAUGAUCUUAACUUAACAAAGUCAAAUCAACCUUGACCAAGGCCCAACAACACAAGUCAAACUUCCAAAGUCAAUCAAAAUGGCUCUACACAAUUUAUUUGGCAUUUAUUCAAUUAAAAAUACUAAAAAUAAUACAUUAAAUUAAA